Long non-coding RNA from Oncorhynchus keta (chum salmon), 875 nucleotides. RefSeq lists it as uncharacterized. NCBI's taxonomy places the organism in Eukaryota, Metazoa, Chordata, Actinopteri, Salmoniformes, Salmonidae. The transcript has 3 exons. The record is from RefSeq and is a predicted model, not a curated record.
CUGGUCGAUCGUUGUUUUCUUUAUUGUUUUGUUUUGUCUAAGAGUUUCACUUCAACAAUAAAUAUUAUGUGGAACUCAAGGAACGCUGCGCCUUGGGCUCAUCCUUCCGAGGACAGCCGUUACAAUGUCUUCAGACCGAGAAGGCUCUAGUCCAAAAUACUGCCAGUGGUCCUACAUUGACUAAUUUGUUUUGGUUCAAACAACAGCUCAGGCUUAUGAUACACGUAUCUCCCACAGGAUCAGAAGAAUCCAUCCUUUCAUUUUCUUAUAUGAGAUAAAAUGGGGGGUAGCUACUGGAGCCAAUACAUCAAUCAUUCAAUUAAAUUUGUUUUUCAAAAUGGUUGGUUGAUUGAUUUAUGUAGUUUUUUGCAGCCUUAGAGGAGCUGUUAUUCAACCACUCCUGUAAUAUAAGUUGGAUGAGAAGACAACUAUGAUGCAAACAAGGACAAGAGCUGGCAUGGCAUGUUGGAAGACUGAUGUGUAGUGGUGUGGCAGGGGAGUACACACUGGGAACUGAAACUACAACAAGGUCUUAGGAUGAAAUCCCAGCACCUUACGGUGGAAGUGUAGACAGAAGCACAAUGAUGGAGGAACAUGUUCUGGUCUUGUCCAGCACAGAGAGACUAACAGACAACGAGUCCAUACCCUGAACCGUUUCCCCUCGGUGGCUGAAAGGAGGAUCAGAGUCUUCAUUUCAGAGGAUUUUUCACUUUAGAUCAGAGCUUACUCUACAGACAGCUCAGUACAGAUGGGUGAUGGUGAAACAUAACUGGUCAUUAGAGCUGCUACAGCUUAACAGCAUGAAGGACUGACUCAUUCUAUCACCAUCACUGCUAUAGGACAACACCGUUGCUUUAUCCAGACAUACUGUAUCA